Molecule: long non-coding RNA, 5002 nt
Filed under: Triticum aestivum (bread wheat)
Lineage: Eukaryota; Viridiplantae; Streptophyta; Magnoliopsida; Poales; Poaceae
Description: long non-coding RNA (TAES_LNC024039)
Source: RNAcentral
AAAUAUUUUCAGUAAAUCCAAAUGGCUUUCAAAAAUGUUCAUCAUUUAUGGAAAAUGCUGUAAAUAGUAACCAGAGGUGAUGCACAGUUUUCCAUGACAUAUUUGGGCUCUGAAUUAAAUCAUACUCUAUUUGCAUUUGGGCAUUUAAAUGCUAUAAAAUAUUUUAAAUGCUCAAAUAAUCAUAAACUAAAAACUGUACUGUUGUAUAUAUUCUAAACAGUAGCCAUGAUUAGUUUCAUGAUUUUUGGAAAUGCCCUGGCAUUUUUAAUAAAGUCCUAAAGUAACAGCAAAAUAGAAAAUAGAAGAAAAAUAAAAAAGGAAGGAAACCUACCUAACUUACCUAUGCAGCCCACCUGGCCCAAGUCCUGCUAGCCCAGCACUACUGCUCCGGAACACUUGACUGGCCGGCAUGUGAUUCACUUCGUUCCUGUGUCUGUCCCUUCGGGGAAAUGUCACGCGGUGACAUCCGGAGUCCUGCCUAGCCUGCUACAGCCCAGUCCACCGGAGUCCUGUUAGCCCAGUGCUACAGCCCGGAUUCGCACGCUGCUGACCGACAUGCUCGAUGUUGAUUCAUGUAUGCCUGUCCCCGUAAGUUGGUGCCACUUUGGGUUCACGAUUAGUCAUGUCGGCCCGGGUUCUCUGUCAUAUGGAUGCUAGCGACACUAUCAUAUACGUGAGCCAAAAGGCGCAAACGGUCCCGGGCCAUGGUAAGGCGACACCCGUGGGAAUACCGUGCAUGGGGCCGCAAAGUGAUAUGAGGAGUUACCGGCUAGAUCGAUGUGACUUGGAAUCGGGGUCCUGACAGCAUUGGUAUCAGAGCCUGACUGCCUGUAGGAUUACCAAGCCAAACUGGUCGAAGUUGUGUCUAGAAAUGCUUUAGUUAUGUAUGGGAAUUGAUUGGAGAAGGGAACGUAAGGCUCUUUUUACUCCUUAUAUCUCAUGUCCUCUGAUCCGAGUCAUCUUAUCUUUCCUACAGGGAUUUAGAACUAGUCCUUCUCAUCUAUAUAUCAGGAUGACGUGUUACUAAUCCAUAGACUUAUAAGAUUGUUGGAUUUAUGCCCCAGUUCAGUUUCUGCUACUUCCGUGUGUUCAUAGUUGGUCUCGGAACUUUGAUAUUGUGCUUCUGAGUGGUUAUGCCACCAUUUUUGCAGGAUGUCUCAAAUCUUUUUGAGCAUUUACAGUCAUUAUGCUGUCCGAGUCAUCCCAGGUUUCCAAACAAUCUGAUGCAUUUGCAAAAUCCUUUCCCUCUGUUUCCGCGUCCCUUUGGGCUAGAUUAAGCACACUAAUGGCCUGUUGAGGUAUUCUAUUGCCUCGACAUAUAUGUUGGAGUUAUUAUUACGACCCUAGGUGUCUUAGAAGAUUACCUAGUAAACUAGCCAUAUUUUGUGUUCCCGGUGUGAUGAUUCUGGCCACCAUUCUCAAAAGCAUCCCGUGAUGCCAUUUAGUAGUAGGUAUUCUACUCCUGGGUUCUUGACCCAAGAUCCACUCUACUUACCUCGUGUUGAUAGUGUUGCUCGUACCUUUAGGAUAUUAGUAACCUUUGAGAUAGUCUUCGAGGUCCAUGGUAUAUCAUUCUUCCAAAUACCAUGACCCAUUCUUGGCAAGAGUUCUUUUGAACCAAAAGAUCACAACCAGAGUGCUCGUGAUGAGUUCUCUAUUCUAUAUUGUGAAUCUGCCAGUUCUACCCUUUCCGCAUGGGUUAUCUGGAAGAAAUGUUGAGAUUCGCUCGGCAUACUAAUCUAUGCAUCCACAACUCAGAAAAACAUAUGUUCCUUUGAGUUGUCCCUCUUUAGUUGUAUCCUGACCUCCGUCUAUCAAGCGAUAGUCAGGAAUAGUUGUGCGAUCGUGUUCGUCAGUGUCUAUUAUACUUGUGGUCCGUCAAGCCGUUCUAUUUCAGAAUGACUAGGUGAAACAAACUCCAGUACCUCAUCCAUAUCUAGCAUUGGGUCAAAGCAGUUGUAUUCCGCAGAUCAAAAUGCCAAUCCAGCUUUUGAUUCUGUUCCACCUGAAGUAUUGCCCUCUUGAUGUCAGGAAUGUCAUGAGAAUUACACCACCUCUUAUGAAUUCCUGAUUUAGUGAUACUUCUUGCCAUCAUUUUCAUUUUUCGGUUCCGUGGUGUCACAACUGGAAUGCCGACAAGUGAACCAUGAUGUGUGAAAUCAAUACUCCUAGCAACCAUGUUGCUUGGUAGUUAAUGGACAUUAAUAGCAUUCUUAGCAUGUUCGUUAUCGAAUCACUAUUCUAGGAUUGAUCGUGCUACCUUGUCCUUAUUUCUGGUGCACUCCUCGAUCUUUGAGUUAGGAUUGAAUACCUUGCUUUCCUGAUCAUGUCGUCUUGCCUUGAAAAGCAAGGUUGUUCUCGAGCUUAGUAACAUAUCAGUGGUUCGUGAUGUUCCGAAUAUCUUCUCGGAAGCAUUAGCAGGUUGUCACCUGACCGCUAUGUUGAGCUCGUGAUUAAGUUGGUUUCUUGUAAACCACCCCUUCUCCAAGAAUCCGUGUUGGAUACCCCUGAGCUAGUUGGUUAAGCCAAACAACAACUUGGAGAGUUGGAAGAUAAAGUUUGUCCGACUUAGUUCAUCUUAAGGGAUAUCUUGUGUGUGUGUUCAAGAAAGAUGAUAUCUCCAUCGAUUGGUCCUCGAGAUUAGUUGUUGGAUCUAUUGCCUUGUCAAACUUUGACUUGAGUAUGGGCUAUCAUCAAGUCAAAUCAGAACAAACGAUGUUCGUAAUGUUGUCUUACUCGUGGUUGAUCCCUCGAGCAUACACCAUUACAUCUUUUGGUACGACCAAUGCUAUCACCGUGUUCACAUGAUGGUGGAAGUCCAGUGAUAUGGAAAUUCCGAUGAGUUGCUGUUGAGCCCAUCAGCAGCAUUUUGUCUCCCCCAUGAUUCAUGUUGAACAUCAACCUCGUGUUGGAAACUUUGUAAGAAAUGCCUUCGUGUUCCGUUCAUGAAGCUUAUGCUUGGAUGGAAGAAGUGACUUCCUCGAAUUCAUGUGCAUUUGGUGCAAGUUGCCGCCGUGAGUUCGAGAAAGAUUGUAUUUGUUUCCUCUGGUACCAUCCCAAGUCAGUUAUGCAUGUGCAAAUGUAUUCUAUGGUUUGGUAGAUUAAUUACCUCCACUCCAUAUGUGUUCCUAGCACACCAAGCCACUAAUUGACUUGUUCAAGGAGAAGAAGUUCCUUCUUAAGAGCAUGCCUUAUGCAAGGACUUCGAUAUCCUCGUUGAUGGUCCCCAACCAGAACUCGGUAGUGUUUUCUUGUAAGACUAUUAUGUGGUCAUGCUUGUCUUGGACAGCAUGUCCGCAUGUAUGUAGCAGAACCAACUCAUGUUUUGGAGCUUGCUAUCGUAGUUCAUUUCCCGAGAAUCUCGCAACGUCAUCUCGUCGGUUUGUGUUGCAAACUUUCUUUUCGAGACAUGUUGUCUCAAUUAUUCUGUUACCAACCAGAUUUGAAUCUCAGGCAGAUAUGAUGGUUGGAACUUCUUCCGAGAACUAUGAUAUAGGUUCCUGUGAAGUGGACGCACCUAGCUAGAAGCACUAUUGUUGUAGUAUCUUGAUUAAGCCGUUUGGUCACCUCCCAUGAGGAUUUCGCAUGACUUAUUCUAGAAGUUGUUCCUUAUGGAUCAUGUGCUCCCCAAGUCCGACCUUUACUUGAUGGCCAUGUUGAUGCUUCUUAAGCAUGGCCGUGGUAGCUAGAACAUCAAGGAGAACAUUAGAAGUGGAGUGCUAAAUGUCUCUCGGUCGAUCAUCCAGAUUUUGUUUUCUUGGCCUCGCUAAGGUGAAAUCUGAAAAGUUGUUAUCUCCCUUUGCAUCCGCACCCUCCAUCACUAUUCGUCAUGGUAGUAUGUUGUGUUGCCACAAUCCUUGACAGGGAUGUUGGUAAGACCUUGAUGAGUAUGGAAAUGCUCAAGUUCUUGAGAGCACGCUCGGACACUAGGUUAUAUCCUCGGUAUCAACUGGAAUGUGCCUUCCGUUUGCUGAGUUGUCUUAUAACUCUAGUUCUCUUUCCAACUGAGUAUGCCAUUUCUCCGAACUCCUUCAAACGAUCGUUUGUGAUUUUCCUUAGGCUGGUUUAGAGAUUUUCAAUGAUCUAUGUAUCAAAAGUAAUUCUUCUUGCCACUUAAGGGAAUAAUUCUACGGGUCACCUCCUCUAAGAUGUCUCGUUAUGGUAUCCUGGCAACUCAACUCCUCGGUACGUUGACAACUGUUCACCACCUUCUUAAGUGUGGAAUUGUUGCCUACCUAGUGAAUCUUCGUCAUCUGUUUCACUCCAUCCCUCAGGAUGUAUGCUUCGUGUCUCAGCUCGAGAGAUGUUUUCAAUGUCCCACUCCAUGAGUUGAUCCUGAGUUGUUCGAUCUUCAAGAAGAUCGAUUCUUCUAGAGUUUUCUUUUUCUCUCGUUGUCGUGUUGGUUGAAGUUUCCGAAGCAAGACGUUGAGACAAAGAUGGUGACGAAUCAACGUUCUUACGAAGUGCAACCUGGAUCAUGAAGAUUGUGUUAGUUGUGUUCCCCCUUCAUCUUACCCUAUGCUUGAAUCUCGGGACGAGAUUCUUGUUUAGUGGGGGUGAGUUGUCACAUCCCUAGCUUCUGGUAAUGCACUAGGCUAGCCUCAUGUGUGCAUCAUGUUUAAUCUUGAAAUAAACUUGAAAUGGGGAUUGCCUAAACCCCUAGCAUCAAAGGAAUUCACUAGGUUCACCUAAAAUAUAUUCAGUAAAUCCAAAUGGCUUUCAAAAAUGUUCAUCAUUUAUGGAAAAUGUUGUAAACAGUAACCAGAGGUGAUGCACAUUUUUCCAUGACAUAUUUGGGCUCUGAAUUAAAUCAUACUCUAUUUGCAUUUGGGCAUUUAAAUGCUAUAAAAUAUUUUAAAUGAUCAAAUAAUCAUAAACUAUAAUGUUUACUAUUGUAUAUAUUCUAAACAGUAGCCAUGAUUAGUUUCAUGAUUUUUGGAAAUGCCCUGGCAUUUUUAAUAAAGUCCUAAAGUAACAGCAAAAUAGAAAACAGAAGAAAAAU